UACGGAGGGUGCGAGCGUUGUCCGGAUUUAUUGGGUUUAAAGGGUGCGUAGGCGGCUUUUUAAGUCUGGGGUGAAAGCCCGCUGCUCAACAGCGGAACUGCCCUGGAUACUGGAGAGCCUGAGUACAGACGAGGUUGGCGGAAUGGACUGAGUAGCGGUGAAAUGCAUAGAUACAGUCCAGAACCCCGAUUGCGAAGGCAGCUGACUAGGCUGUUACUGACGCUGAGGCACGAAAGCGUGGGGAGCGAACAGG
Molecule: ribosomal RNA, 253 nt
Filed under: uncultured bacterium
Lineage: Bacteria
Description: partial 16S ribosomal RNA
Rfam family: Bacterial small subunit ribosomal RNA
Source: RNAcentral